This 527-nucleotide ribosomal RNA is filed under the name uncultured bacterium. RNAcentral's name for it is "partial 16S ribosomal RNA". It matches the Rfam family "Bacterial small subunit ribosomal RNA", at positions 355 to 874 of the family's 1533-position model. The record is from RNAcentral.
UGGGGAAUUUUGGACAAUGGGCGCAAGCCUGAUCCAGCCAUGCCGCGUGCGGGAAGAAGGCCUUCGGGCUGUAAACCGCUUUUGUCAGGGAAGAAAUCUUCUGAGUUAAUACCUCGGGAGGAUGACGGUACCUGAAGAAUAAGCACCGGCUAACUACGUGCCAGCAGCCGCGGUAAUACGUAGGGUGCAAGCGUUAAUCGGAAUUACUGGGCGUAAAGCGUGCGCAGGCGGUUUUGUAAGACAGAGGUGAAAUCCCCGGGCUCAACCUGGGAACUGCCUUUGUGACUGCAAGGCUUGAGUGCGGCAGAGGGGGGAUGGAAUUCCGCGUGUAGCAGUGAAAUGCGUAGAUAUGCGGAGGAACACCGAUGGCGAAGGCAAUCCCCUGGGCCUGCACUGACGCUCAUGCACGAAAGCGUGGGGAGCAAACAGGAUUAGAUACCCUGGUAGUCCACGCCCUAAACGAUGUCAACUGGUUGUUGGGAAGGUUCCUUCUCAGUAACGUAGCUAACGCGUGAAGUUGACCGCCU